Molecule: ribosomal RNA, 356 nt
Filed under: uncultured bacterium
Lineage: Bacteria
Description: bacterial SSU rRNA
Rfam family: Bacterial small subunit ribosomal RNA
Source: RNAcentral
AGAGUUUGAUCCUGGCUCAGGAUGAACGCUAGCUACAGGCUUAACACAUGCAAGUCGAGGGGAAACGACAUCGAAAGCUUGCUUUUGAUGGGCGUCGACCGGCGCACGGGUGAGUAACGCGUAUCCAACCUGCCCACCACUUGGGGAUAACCUUGCGAAAGUAAGACUAAUACCCAAUGACGUCUCUAGAAGACAUCUGAAGGAGAUUAAAGAUUUAUCGGUGAUGGAUGGGGAUGCGUCUGAUUAGCUUGUUGGCGGGGUAACGGCCCACCAAGGCGACGAUCAGUAGGGGUUCUGGAGAGGAAGGUCCCCCACAUUGGAACUGAGACACGGUCCAAACUCCGUACGGGACGGCA